This 374-nucleotide ribosomal RNA is filed under the name uncultured organism. Its description in RNAcentral is "partial 16S ribosomal RNA". It matches the Rfam family "Bacterial small subunit ribosomal RNA", at positions 527 to 897 of the family's 1533-position model. The record is from RNAcentral.
GUAGGUGGCAAGCGUUGUCCGGAAUUAUUGGGCGUAAAGCGCGCGCAGGGCGGUCCUUUAAGUCUGAUGUGAAAGCCCACGGCUCAACCGUGGAGGGUAAUUGGAAACUGGGGGACUUGAGUACAGAAGAGGAAAGCGGAAUUCCAAGUGUAGCGGUGAAAUGCGUAGAGAUUUGGAGGAACACCAGUGGCGAAGGCGGCUUUCUGGUCUGUAACUGACGCUGAGGCGCGAAAGCGUGGGGAGCAAACAGGAUUAGAUACCCUGGUAGUCCACGCCGUAAACGACGAGUGCUAAGUGUUAGGGGGUUUCCGCCCCUUAGUGCUGCAGCUAACGCAUUAAGCACUCCGCCUGGGGAGUACGGCCGCAAAGGCUGA